Molecule: long non-coding RNA, 599 nt
Organism: Mastomys coucha (southern multimammate mouse)
Lineage: Eukaryota; Metazoa; Chordata; Mammalia; Rodentia; Muridae
Exons: 2
Source: RefSeq, a predicted model, not a curated record
AAGAGCUGAAAUUAAAAACAGAUCGGACUCCAGAAUCCCCUUUAACUGCCAAGAGCUACACUACCCUUGGAUGCCCGCUGCCUUUCAGAUGCGUUAGGGAGAAGAUAGCACUGGCAUGGGGUUGGGGGUAGCCUCCACGAUAUGACCUGCAUACACCAGCAACGCUGAUUUGGCUGAAUUCUGACUGGCAAGUGAUUUAAUCUGCUGGCUGGCAGGGCACGAAGGCUGACCAGGUCCAGCACAAGAUCUGAAGGUUGAAACAGAUGAGAAGCAUGAUGAAUCUUAAUUCAGAAGAGCAGAAAUAAAACACUUUCCCAGAAGGGGCAGAGGGGAAACUUUGCCCAGCUAUGAUGAACACAUAGUGUCAGCACUGUGGUUAUUUUAAUCAAUAGACCACAGAUGAAAUGAUAAAGGCAAUCUGGCUGCAAACAAGCCCACAAAAACAUCACAUACACAUGGACAACAACUGUUUCAAAAGAAAGCCAGGAGCCAUAGUGGUGGUUCACUUGGUUAAGUGUUUCUAUACAAGCUUAAGGACCUGAGUUCAAAUCUCUAGAACUCCUGUAACAAACAAACAAAUAAACAAGGGUGAUAACAUG